UACGGAGGUGGCAAGCGUUGCUCGGAAUCACUGGGCGUAAAGGGCGCGUAGGCGGGGAGGUAAGUCGGGUGUGAAAUCCCUCGGCCCAACUGAGGAACUGCGCCCGAGACUGCUUCUCUUGAGUCCCGGAGAGGAAGAUGGAAUUCCCGGUGUAGCGGUGAAAUGUGUAGAGAUCGGGAGGAACACCGGUGGCGAAGGCGGUCUUCUGGACGGUGACUGACGCUGAGGCGCGAAAGCGUGGGGAGCGAACAGG
This 253-nucleotide ribosomal RNA is filed under the name uncultured bacterium. Its description in RNAcentral is "partial 16S ribosomal RNA". It matches the Rfam family "Bacterial small subunit ribosomal RNA", at positions 524 to 776 of the family's 1533-position model. The record is from RNAcentral.